Molecule: ribosomal RNA, 164 nt
Filed under: Clusia minor
Lineage: Eukaryota; Viridiplantae; Streptophyta; Magnoliopsida; Malpighiales; Clusiaceae
Description: 5.8S ribosomal RNA
Rfam family: 5.8S ribosomal RNA
About the family: 5.8S ribosomal RNA (5.8S rRNA) is a component of the large subunit of the eukaryotic ribosome.
Source: RNAcentral
AAAACGACUCUCGGCAACGGAUAUCUCGGCUCUCGCAUCGAUGAAGAACGUAGCGAAAUGCGAUACUUGGUGUGAAUUGCAGAAUCCCGUGAACCAUCGAGUCUUUGAACGCAAGUUGCGCCCAAAGCCUUCUGGUUGAGGGMMCGUCUGCCUGGGURNCACAC